Molecule: unclassified non-coding RNA, 402 nt
Filed under: soil metagenome
Description: partial contains 5.8S ribosomal RNA, internal transcribed spacer 2, and large subunit ribosomal RNA
Rfam family: 5.8S ribosomal RNA (bases 1-121)
Source: RNAcentral
GAUGAAGAACGUAGCGAAAUGCGAUAAGUAAUGUGAAUUGCAGAAUUCAGUGAAUCAUCGAAUCUUUGAACGCACCUUGCGCCCUUUGGCUAUUCCGAAGGGCAUGCCUGUUUGAGUAUCAUGAACACCUCAACUCUCAUGGCUUGCCAUGAUGAGCUUGGACUUUUGGGGGUCUUGCUGGCCUGUGGUCAGCUCCUCUCAAAUGAAUUAGCCUGCCAGUGUUUGGUGGCAUCACAGGUGUGAUAACUAUCGACGCUUGUGGUUUUCCACCAGGUAACCUUCAGUGAUGAAGGUUCGCUGGGGCUCAUAAACGUCUCUCCUCAGUGAGGACAGCUCUUUGAACGUUUGAUCUCAAAUCAGGUAGGACUACCCGCUGAACUUAAGCAUAUCAUAAGCGGAGGA